ACUCAACUGCAGGUGUAGUAGUUGAAGCAGCAGCAAGUGCACCUGAGGGCGUGUCAGUGGCAACACAGCGAAAGUUUCCUGGUAGUAAUGAAUGCCAGUGGAGUCAUGCUGGUGACAUUCUGGGGGGUAAAGAGGACAAAUGGAGUAGCAGCAGCAUAUCCACAUGUGUCUGCCCACCAGCCCGGCCGGUCCCUACAGCUGAAGAAUGGCUAGAGCAUCCAUCACGCAGUGCUGCCCAGCUGGAGUGUAUGGAGUCCAAGGCAGAGCAUCAAACAGAGUUAUGCCUACAAAGGGUCGAAAGAAGCAGGAGAUACUACAUUUACAGUAGUUUUCACGGUUAUGUCACUGAGAAGCGGCUGGAUGACAUGCUCGGGGAAGAGCUCUUCAUGGAGUCCUAGAAAAGGCUGC
Pseudophryne corroboree (corroboree frog) is the source of this 408-nucleotide long non-coding RNA. RefSeq lists it as uncharacterized. The transcript has 3 exons. NCBI's taxonomy places the organism in Eukaryota, Metazoa, Chordata, Amphibia, Anura, Myobatrachidae. The record is from RefSeq and is a predicted model, not a curated record.